UAAGAAGAUGAGAAAGAAUCCUUUGAAAAGCUCCAAGAGUUCUUUGAAUGAGGCAAGGACUUCAAGCAAAUAUGAUAAUGAAGAGCCACUGGCUUCCAUUGCCAGAAGUAUUUCCAUGAGAACAAGAUGAGCAAGCAAAAGCAGCUAGCAGAAGACAUUCUGAGGUAUGGGGACAUAAAAAUUGCAGCAGAAGUGUUCACAUUUCGCGAGCUAGCCAAUGUGACAAACAACUUCAAUCCGGAGCUGUUAGUGGGGGAAGGAGGAAAGAUUAAGGUGAUAUAGGAGUCAAAACAUACGGAGACUAGUGAUAGAAAGAUGGGGCUCUCUCUUCAUUUUUCUCUUCUUUGUAAAACAUUGGCUAUGAAUAAUUUCUAUGUAUUUGUGUUGUAAAA
Long non-coding RNA from Ipomoea nil (Japanese morning glory), 392 nucleotides. RefSeq lists it as uncharacterized. The record is from RefSeq and is a predicted model, not a curated record. The transcript has 2 exons. Lineage: Eukaryota; Viridiplantae; Streptophyta; Magnoliopsida; Solanales; Convolvulaceae.